ACUAUGCUGGUUGUACAUUACAGAUGUGGCUACGUCGUCACAUGAGUGUCAGCAGGUGGCAGAGGAGAGGCUGUGCUGCUGCUCGGUGUCCCUGACCUAGGAACAUCUGAAUAAUUAGGAGCCUAACAUC
Molecule: small nucleolar RNA, 130 nt
Organism: Arvicanthis niloticus (Nile rat)
Lineage: Eukaryota; Metazoa; Chordata; Mammalia; Rodentia; Muridae
Product: small nucleolar RNA SNORA17
Source: RefSeq, a predicted model, not a curated record